Camellia sinensis is the source of this 2628-nucleotide non-coding RNA. NCBI's taxonomy places the organism in Eukaryota, Viridiplantae, Streptophyta, Magnoliopsida, Ericales, Theaceae. The record is from RefSeq and is a predicted model, not a curated record.
UUUGAGACUGGCAAUUCUGAGCCAGUCUUCCUUAUUAAUUACACUCAAAAGAGCACUAGCUCCCUUCGGUUCACACAACUGUGCUAAGACGCUCGGGAGACUUUGCCUCGCCGCCUUCCUCUCUCUCUCUCUGGUUCACUUUCCUUCGCCGCCGCCACCAUGGUGGCACACAGAACCGCCCUCUUGCUGGGUUUUCUGGUCUUUCUUGAAAUGCAUUUUAUUCUCACGGUGUCAGCUACUGAUUGUCCAUUAGAUUUGAGUGGGUCAAACUUUACACUCGCUGCCUCCAUCUGCUCCAAUAAAGAAGAAAGAGGGAAAUGUUGCCGGUACAUUAAUGCCCUUAUUGCAGUUUCUAUUGCUCGCUAUGCAAAUCUCACGAGCAGCCUGGGGGUUACUCCAGAUUUAUCUCAGAUUUGCAUCAGUUCCAUUUCAGAAACCUUAGACCUAUAUGGGAUAACAAGAAAUGCAACUGUUUUCUGUGGAUUGGGAACCAAAAUCCCUGUUAAUUAUGAAUGCCAAGGUCGAACAACUGUUACACAGAUGCUGCAAUCUCCAACAUUUCCAGAUGUCACCGAAAAUUGCCAACUGCCACUGUCAAUGGAGAGUAAUUGCAGAACAUGUUUAAAUGCCGGAAUUCUAUAUCUUCGCAAUCUAAUAGGUGCAGUGGAUAAUAUGACGUUAAGUACAUGUCGGGAUGCAACUUUUGUUGCACUUGCCAGCCAAGUUGAUAAUGUGUCCGCUGUCGACAUUGCAAGCUGCUUCUUUGGGGUUCCAGGGCUUAUGACUCCUCCAGCUUCGGAGCCAUCCCCAUCUUUGCUUUCACCUGAGGCUUCUCCGAGUCCAUUGGUUGCUGCUAGCCCAGGCCAGCUCUCCUUGAGUCCGCGUCUUAACGAAACACACCAUCUCUUUCAUCUCACGUUAAUUCCAUGUCUGGGUAUAGCAGUUACAGCAGUUGCAGUUGUGUCGCUGGUAGUCUUGAUAUUUUUGAUUCGUAGGAAAAGAAGAGAGCUAGAGGAUUCUGAGACUAUUGAUAAGUCCUCUUCAAAAGGCUACACUCAACCUCCAAGAAAAUUUCUGGAAGGCCCAUCGUCUAUGUUUCGAAAAUUCAGUUACAAGGAGACAAAGAAGGCAACAGAUCACUUCAACACAAUAAUUGGACAAGGGGGAUUUGGAACUGUUUACAAAGCUCAGUUUAGUGAUGGUACCGUAGUAGCGGUGAAGCGGAUGGACAAAGUUUCAGAGCAAGCUGAGGAUGAAUUCUGUAGAGAAAUAGAGCUUCUUGCUAGGCUGCAUCAUCGUCAUCUUGUUUCUCUUAGAGGCUUUUGCAUUGAAAGACGUGAAAGGUUUCUCAUGUAUGAGUAUAUGGCUAAUGGAAGCUUGAAAGACCAUCUUCACACUCCAGGUAGAACUCCUCUGAGUUGGCAGACUAGAAUUCAAAUUGCCAUUGAUGUGGCAAAUGCCUUGGAGUACCUCCAUUUCUAUUGUGAUCCUCCACUGUGCCAUAGAGACAUUAAGUCCAGCAAUAUUUUAUUAGACGAGAAUUUCAUUGCGAAGGUUGCUGAUUUUGGCCUUUUGCAUGCUUCAAAAGAUGGAUCAGUUUGCUUUGAACCAGUGAACACUGACAUCAGGGGCACUCCAGUUUCAGGUUACAUGGAUCCCGAGUAUGUGACCACUCAAGAGCUCACCGAAAAAAGUGAUGUGUAUAGUUAUGGUGUGCUACUAUUAGAACUGGUUACUGGCAGAAGAGCAAUACAAGACAACAAGAAUUUGGUGGAAUGGUCCCAAGUAUUUUUGAAUUCAGAGUCAAGUCUUGCUGAGCUUGUGGACCCCAGUAUCGGUGAUUUGUUCGACUUUGAUCAACUUCAAACAGUAGCGACAAUUGUGAGAUGGUGUACCCAGAGAGAAGGAAGGGCUAGACCGUCAAUUAAGCAAGUUCUUCGGCUUCUGUACGAGUGUUCAGAUCCGAUGCAUAGUGGGUUUGUUGAAGCUGUGGAAGAUGAAGAGUAUGAAGGAACUGAUGGGAGAGGGAGAAGGAGUAAAGGGAAAAUGCAUAGAGCCGAGGUGUUUUUUCACAGUGGAGAUGGAAGGUGUCUCGCUUCUUCUUCAAGUACAUCUAGGUCGUAUUGUAGUAGAAGCUUUCUACUUGAAACUGGUUCUCCGCAAUCUCCUUCAGCUAUACCCUCCAUUUGAGGACAACCAAUCAUCUGUUUAGCCACUUAUAAUGGAUUUUGGACUUUCUUGGGUGGAGCACUUUGACGAAGCUGUGGUUGAAUUGUAAAGCACAGGAUCAUAUUUGAUUCAGAAUGUCAUCCAAAAGCUUUGAACAUUUUGAAACCCCCAACACGAGCUUUAUUAAUCGCAUUUGCAGCAACUUUACGAUCAUUUCUAUCUAUGGCCUGAGUAGCUUUUGGAAAUAGAUUGUUCACAAUUGGGAUGUAAAGCUUCUUGCACUUACAAUAUAUUUUCGCCUUUCGAUUUAACUGGAUUGGAUUCAAUAAUCUCAUUGGCGAGGUUUAGUAGAAUAGUUGCCUUAGCAUUUGUAGCUUCAGCAGCAAUAAUGAUGCUUAGAACUUGGAUAUUUGCAUUUUUGGUUCAAAAAUCUUACUCGAAAACUGAGUGACAAUGGCU